AGCACCUUGAGGUGACUGUUGUUGUGAUUUGGCGCUGUACAAAUAAAAUUGAAUUGAAUUGAAUUGAAUGUUUGAUCCCCAUGGCCAACGCUCUGUUGGUGAUCUAAACAGUUCAUUGAGGUAUCACAAAUAUUUGACAGCGAAAGGGUUUUUUUUUUAUGUUAAAAGGCAGUUAAAACUACUAUUAUUUGAAAUACAGGGUUUAAAAAAAAGUUUGUGUUUGUGAGGUCAGUUCAGUUUGGUGAGCAGGAUUCUCCCAACGCUUUUCUGUCUGCCCUCACAGACAGCUGCACGAGAACAUCUGCCCACCAGUUCUGGUGCACAUCAAGGCUUUUUCACCUCUUUGCUGACAAAAUGUUAUAAACACUGUGCAUUUACGUUAAAUCCAACCAGAACAAUAUGUAUUCAUGACCUUAUUAUAACUCCAUCAAACAUCACAUAGACUGUCGUGUGACGUAGUUUAAGGAAAUUCCAGAUGCUUACUCUCACGAAAUUCUUCAAUAACUCAAAGUUUUCUUAUCCACCAUCACCACAGACAUUAAUCCUGCUCUCCAGUCUUGUCAUAUUUGUUUAUGUCUUCAGUCUGCUCCUAAUCCAUCUCCAUUUCCUUUCCCCCUCAGCUGUGCAUUUCUGCCCUCCUGCUUUAUUUCAGGGGUUAUUGAUGUUUACAGAACCUGUUGCUUUAGUCUGCUAGGUGGCUGUUUUUUCAGACUGUGCCAUCUCUGUAACUCCAACGAGAACAGAAACCAAUCCAGGAGGAGCUCGGGAUGCUUCCAAAACAAUGAAGAGGUCUGACCCUGUGUGUAUCCUGAGUCUGCUCCGGGUCUGUACUGGGUCUGGGCCUCUCCAACUCGGGUCUCACAUUGCAGGUGUUCAGGAGGAGCAUUACGUCUACCCUAAGCUCCUUCUGAGUUACAGAAAUCCUCAUCCCUGUGUGAAUCAUCACCUUACUGCGCUGGAGGGAUUUAUGCUCAUGUGAUCUCAGGAAAUAUGUUGUUAAGGGCAAAGCAAAUUGGUCCUCCUUUAGGGAUCAGACUAAGUGAAGGGGACACCAAGAACCUUUCCUGGAUCUGCAACACUGACCUCAUCCUGGAGCCAGGCCUGAAGGAUGGGGCUCAGGCGCUAAGCCAUGAGGCCUGACUGGGCUCAGCCCGAGUGAGUUACAUGCAUCCACCCUCCAUCUGCAGGAGGUGGCACGCAUAGGCAGAUGCUUUGUCAGUUCAAUCCCAGGCUUGUAUGCUCUUUACUCUGAAAACAUCAGUGUAAAUGUUCUUAAAGUCAGUCACUUUUGUAUAGCCCAAAGCGAACACAAAUGCAAAUAAGGAAUACAAUAAGACAAUAACGUGUUUAACAGAAUCUCACCCAGACACGCUUCAGCGUGAAAGUGAGGAAAACAUGUUGAAGCACAAAAUCUCAACAAUUCAGCAUAAAAUGGUUCAUGGGUGGAAAAAAAAGCAGAUUAAUCACAGAAAUAAACCUCCAUCACUUUGAUUCAAGUCAAGAUGGGAUAAUAAUAAUGUUGGACAAAGUCAACCCAGUGCCCUCAGAAAAUAACUGAAGGAUUAGACGUCAAAGGAGGUGGACUAGAUUUCCUGGAAGGAUUUCACAUCAAAGGCAGGAGCUGGCAGAGAGUAAAAGACAACAUGGAUCAAAACAGCAGCAUCGGAUGGUUGCCUAACACCUUCAAACUACAAAGCAUCCAUGAACCCCAGCAAGUACCUCUCAAAGUCUUCUUUAAAGGGAAAAGCAAGUCAAAUACUUAAUAGGCUUUAUGUUUAUGAAAUGUAAAGUGAACUAAAGCUGGAGGAUCAUGAAACAGAGACAUCCACGCUCCGCUCCACGACAUCCAUGUUAUUAUGGCUUCCCGUCUCCCUCCACUUUGCUUUUUUUUUUCUCUGGAUGAAACUCGUCGUCCAUGAGGGAAAAACAUCGAAACGCUGACAUGUGUGUGGUUGUAAAUGUGUAAAACAGCAGCUGUUUUGCAUCAUACACACAAUUAUGAGGGAGAAAGUCCUUCUCACACCAACUUGUGUGAGAUAUGCUGUAUGAAUGUUAGCCUUAACAAUAUUUUGUGUUGUGAAUAAAAACACAAAACACUGUUUUGUGAACAAAUUUCAGCUUCUGGAAAAUGUAAGUAGCUACAGUGAAAACAUCAGACUCGUAUCAUUGACUCACGUUCUACUAAAAACUGAUGUUUGUCUUGAAUAUUCUUUAGAAAAUUAGAAAGUCCAGAGUUAGUUCACUGAAACACAAAAGCAUGCACAAUUUGUGAUGUCAAAAAGUAAAGCUAGAGAGGUAAAACAUUUUUUUUUUUACAUUAAAAGCAAUAAUUAAGUAUAAUCAGUCAUAAAAACAAAUCACAGAGAUCUUUGAUUAAUUUGAUUGAUUAGAAAUGAUCAACUUUAAAUGUUCAUGUGAAAAAGAAGGAACAUCCUCUUUACAUUCUAAGGGUCCCCCCCCCAAAAAACAACCAAAAAACAAAAAGCAAACAAAAAAAACAUCUGGUCCUGAGCAGAUUCAAUAUUUGUUUAACAAAAAUGAAGACAAAUUGCAGAAGCAGCAGGUGAAAAUCGAAGACGACCCCUGGAUUCAGUCGCUUGUAGAAACUCUUUAGCAGCACAAACUUGAAACAGUUGUUCCCUGCGUGACUUUAUCAGUCUUUCACAUUGCUGUGGAGGAAUUUGUAGUUUGCUUCAGUUUGCAGGCAUCUGUUUAUGCACAGCUCUCUUAGCAUUUCAGUCGGUUAUAGUCUGGACUUUGAUUAAGGCCGUUGCAGAAACUUUCUUAAUUUUUCAGCUAUUCUGUUGGACAUUUGCUGCUGUGCUUAAGAUCAUUAACUUGUUGUGUGACCCAGUUUGGGCCAAAGCUUCACUGUGAGACAGAAGGCAUCACGGUUGACUCUAACGUGCUUUGUUAUGCAGAGGACUUCACGGUCCACUUAAUGACUGCCAGAGCUCAACUCAUCACUCCCACCUCCGUGCUGACAGUGUGAGGUGUUUGACUUUCUCCAAAUCUGGUGCUGUGCGUUACGGCCAAACAUCUCCACUUUGGACUUGUCUGUCAACAGGACAUCGUUCAGAUGCAACUUUGACUAAACGUAAGCUGUGCUGCCAUGUUCGGUUUCUCCCAGCAACCCUUCCAAACAAAACACACUUGUUUGGGCUUUUUGUAAUUGUAAUGUCAUGACCUUUAAAAAUUUGCACGCUAACUGAGGUCUGUAGAGUCUUUUUGCUUUUUUGCACUUGCAGAGUCUGACCUUGGGGUGAAUUUCCUGGGAUUUCCAUUAAUGGGAAUACUGGGAAAGGUCUCUAAUAUUUUCCACUUUUGAAUAACCUUCCUCACCAUGUACUGGACUUCAAAUUAUUUAGAAAUAUCCUUACACCCAUUAGUGAUGGACAGCAACACUGCUGAAGGUAAAGAGGCUAAAGGUGACAAAUACGAGCUCUGAGAACAAUCACAAGUUAUACAGCAACCAAGUUUAGUUUUCCAGAAAGCAGUUAAGGAUUCCCAGUAAAGUGGGGGGAAAAGGGACAAUACAAGCACCCUAACACAUCUUCCCUACGACCAUUGACAAUGUUUCUGUGCCUUUGAGAAAUGGUGCACACGUGUGACUCUGAUUCUAAACAGCACUUUUCAUGACUUGGGCAUGGACAGGAUGAAGGCAUCUCUGCUCGGGACUCCAAUGUGCUGCUCGAGGACUGACAGUGUGACCUGGAGGAGUGUGACAGGCAAAAAAGGCUUGCUUGAUCUGAAGCCAAGUGGUCAUCUGUUGUUGGACUUUAGUGCUAAACAACAGUUUGUUCAUAAAGAAAAACACUGUAUUUGAGCAUAAGGGUUUGCAUAAGUGCAUUUUGCAGCAGGAGGUUCUAGACUGGUGGUCUGUGAGAGACCUACAGAGAGAUCAUGUCCCACAGCUUGUUUGGGAAUGCCUCUGGAGGAGGUGGCUGGGGAGAGUGAAGUCCCACCUUCUUUGUUUAGACUUCUGCCCUAGAUAAGUAACAGAAGAUGGAUGGAUGGACUUUUUCAGGGCAAGAACAUUUAAAUACCUAGAAUAUCUUCUUGUAGCUUUGCAUUACAAUUUCUACUGAACUAUCUGAAAGAAUAGCCCACCCUACCUUGUUCAAAUAACAAUGUGGCAACUGAUGCGCAAAUCAUUUUAAAUAAACUUUCAGCAUUUCAUUGAAGCAUAUUAAAAAAACCUCAAAUGGUCUAAUCUAAUAGGCUAGUAAGUGUUUUCUGCAGCUCUGUGCAGCUUCUUGGACCUUUGGAUUCAUUCUUUUGAUUUUAUGACUCAUUUGAUUCUGUCUAAUGAAACCUGAACCAGCAGCUGAAAGUCAAAUGAUUCUUUAUCAGACAAGGGCAAGUAAACCAACUGAAUCCACUGAAGCAUACAUCCAAUUACUAAAAAAGUUAGCAAAACUGGAGUUUAAUGGAAUAUAAUAUAAUGAAAAUAAUGGUCCAAGAAAAAUACAACGGUAUAGCCCAGGGCUGGACUGGGACAAAAAAUCGGCCCGGGCAUUUUGACUAGAGACCGGCCCACCAGAUAUUAUAGGAAAAAACCAUAAAGUCUUUGAAUAAAAACAAACGCUGUUGUCACAGUGAUGUAU
Molecule: long non-coding RNA, 4607 nt
Organism: Oreochromis niloticus (Nile tilapia)
Lineage: Eukaryota; Metazoa; Chordata; Actinopteri; Cichliformes; Cichlidae
Exons: 4
Source: RefSeq, a predicted model, not a curated record